UCUCUCCCAUUGCUUGUUGGGGCAGUAAACCCUUUUUCUAAAGUACUGUUUGUUAGCCUCGGAUAAACCCCAUUCUUAAAAGGAUACAUAAAGAUCCCGAUCGAUCCUACUUAUGGUUAUCUACGGUCUCAUCGAUCCUACUUAUGGUUAUCUACGGUCUCAGUGAGCAACGAGCUUCUUCAAUAGCUAGCCUAGCCUCUUACUCCUUUCUAUCAUACAGACAGAGCUAAUUCUACUGUUCUGUUUCCGGACUUCCCGCUUCUGAGAAAAGUGCUAUUCCCGCUUCCAAGCUAGUGGAUUCUUUCCCUCUAAUGAGUUCAGAUCCAUUGCAAACUCCUAAAUUGAACUACACUUUCUCCUUGACCGAUUAAAACAUCCCGAUCAGUCAAAUCAGUCAUAGCGAAGGUACGAUGUAGCGCAUAUAGUAAUGGAAAGCGAUCAGUAACUCUCUUUCUCUCCUUUAAUGGAAUCAGUAGAGUAAGCUAUAAGUAAAGAAGUAAAGGAUCGGAUCGGGUAAAAUAAUCUUCUAAAGAAGCAGUGCCCAUUGAAGAAACAUAAUCCUCAGUGCUCUGAACCAACCUAGUAACCAAUGCUAUCAAAAACCCAGGAAUCACUCUUUCGAACGGGGGCGGUAAGUUCACCAUAUUCUUUAUUAACUAUAGGAGUGGCGGUAAGUUCACCAUAUUCUUUAAUUCCACAGUAUUCCUCAAGUAAUUGGGGCGCGGCAGGAACCACAUCUUAGUACUUAUAGCUUCUAUGACCCAUUAUCUGCAUUUAGUAUAAUAAACUACAGCAACAUGGUUAUGACCCACGAACACAGUUUAAACGCCUGCCGCACUUUUAGCUCGCUGACGCUCUUUUAGCUCGCUACCGCUUUUCACUCGCUACCGCUACACAUUAUCCGUUACUUGGCCGGGAAAGCCUUGAACUCCUCCUGGAAACUCAGAAAGUGGUUGGUUGCUCAUCUACCUCCCCUCUGAACUCUGUCAACUAGCUAAUCUCACUCAGGUAUGCCUGGCAGCUAGCUAAUCUCACUCUGUCAACCCGGACUGCCACUCGGCCAAUGACUUAAGAGCUGUAGGCCAGUUUCAUCUGUGAAUUGACACUCCUGACGCCAUGCUUCAUAUCCUGCUCCUUCUGAUGAUGAUGUAUCUUCUCUUGUUCCUGUAGUUUUAUACCUUCCCUUCCUACGUAGCUUAUCUCUGUUACUACUUUGUUCCAUUCUUCAUAUUCUACUAACAGGUCUUCCACUCUAACUCUGACCCACCUCUCCUUCUGCCCUAUUAUUAAGUACACUGCUGACUAUAAGUACUGAAGUAAUGAAUUGCUAUCAAAAAAGCCGGGAAAACGCCAACUUUGGAUUUCCAUGAUGCCUUCCAGGAGGCAAAACUCCUUGGCUACCUUUUUUCUCGGGAAAACGUGAAAUUGUAAUCUCAAUCGAACCCUUUAGGAGGGAAAAUGACUUGGCUACCGACAAGCAGCGGCACACGACGCUGCGCGUCAGCAACAACAUAGAUGUGUUAUAAGCAGUUAUGACCAAGUCCUGUGUUCGUAACCGAGAAAACGCCAAAUGAUCAUUAGAAAUUGGACAUCUAUUAGCGGGCCAAGGAACUACUAAUGUUCCGCGGCAGGAGCUCCCCUUCGCUAUCAAAAAACACGGGCCAAGUAACUACUAAUGUUACGCGGCAGGAGUUCCCGGAAAAGUAGAAUGAAAAUAAGGUUCUCUAUUAGCCAAAUUGUCUUCACUGCCAACAGCUCCUGCCGCUACACUUACGUAGUUACUUGGUGCAUCUAGUAGAGGAGACUUACUUGUUGCAUUCUGAGUUUGAGGGGUAGUAGUUGUGCUCGUGCAGUCUAGUAGUCCAGGUAGUAGUAGUCCCGUGUAAGGGAGUUGACAGUUCCAGUUCUCAAGUCAGUAUUUGAAGAUAAAUUGACUGAGUAGCUAAGGUUUCUAAUAGUGAUUUGCCUUACUGAGUUGCCUUAGAUGCAGAAUAUGGGUCAUACACGGAUUCCAUUAAAGGAGAGAAAGAGAGUUACUGAUUCCAUUAAACCCCUAGGGCUAAGGAUUAUGUUUCCCCGGCAUCAAUCCCUCGCUGAGCUAGAGCACCAACCAAACCCUAACUACUUUCUCAUAAUUACACUACAGGCCGAAGAAAAGAAGGCAGAAUCCUUAUCUUAAUCAGUAUCAUCAGCAGAAUUGCCAGCCCUAUAGUAAGUUGUAAAAGGAGGAAUUACAGAAUAGAGUGGACAUUUUAUAGAAUAGUCAAGAAUUCUUUCCCUCGCCUCUUGCUCACGUUAGCGCAACAGCAACAGUCACUCUUUUAGCCGAUGAAGACAGGUAUUCCCAGUAGCGGGGGCAAACCAGACGAGCAUACAGAUACUAAUACUAGUGUCACUCUUUUUCUACUCCUAUGUUAUGUUUUCAAUUCAAUGAGUUUCUAGUUGUGUUUAUGUUUUCUGGCGUAACUAGUUAAGGGAAAAGAGGCCUUCACUGGAAUUGAUCCAGCUCCUUCUGUAUCGCUACUGGGUCUAUCUUCUUUAAGAUCGCUACUGGGUCUAUCUUCUUUAAGAAUAAAUGCACCAUAAGAGCUUGUCGGGGGGCAACAUCGGGAAUUGACUAUUUGCGGAGUAACAGAUAGGUUCAACGACCAGAACUAGAGGUUUGGAUACCAGAAAUAAGGAAAUGUCGAUGAAGCUUCUUCUUAAUAUGAUGAAACUCGAACUGGGCGAACAGAACGAAACCUGUCUUCGGCUUAGUGGCCCACUACUGAGUUAAUGCUCUAAAGUGAGCGGAAUGACAGAGUCUCCUUGUUAGCUUGUUCUGUGCGUGCCUAAAUGCCUUAUCAAGCGCCUUGCACUGAAGUCUCAUAUUAACAAGGAAGCAAGACUUAGUGCUAACGCUUAUAUGUCUUGUGGUGCGAGUGUUUUAGCAUAUUCGAACUGUGAUUAUCAUUGGCGGUAGUGAAAGAAAUAAUCUCGUAUCUAGAGGAGAAGCCCUAAGUAAAGUAAAGAAGAAUAAAGUAAUCAAACACAGAGGAGAGUGCGCACGCACCUUAGGUAAUUAUGUAACCCGACUGCCACUUAACUGACUACUUGACUUCGAGCAGAAAGAAUCUCAUCUGACAUAUAGUAUAAGUGCUAUACCUAACACAGCAGCUUACUCCAAUAACUACAGCUUAGUCCAAUAAACUACACUGCAAUAACUUAAAUAACGUCUUUCGCCUAUAAAGAAAGAUAGCCCAGAGAGUAAGGAAGCAAAGCAAUUAGUUGACUCUAUUCUAUAAACAAUGAAUGCUCAAUUCUCUGAUUUUGCCGACAUUCGGAGUGCGGGGUGCGAAAGGAAAGAACAAGCAACGUCGCCAGAGGUUGUGCUAACAUGAGAAAGCCCCUCCCUUGUUAACGGAGUUUUGAAGUCAAAGGGGAAGCUGGGUGUUUACUGAAUUCUAUACCUAUGUGUGUGCUUGAAAUUCCAUUUAUGGUUGCUCAAGCAAAGCAGUAAAGUAUCUCUGGUUUCGAUUCCAUUCUGAAAGUGUACGCGAGUAGAGUCAAGUAACUGCAAGGGAGCAAGAAGCAACUCGGUCGGGGACAAACGUAUCGUAUCGCAAAAGAACUCAACUAAUUAAAGGCUUUCUCAACAAGCAAUGGAGAUGAAGCAAGCAAACAGGAAGCAAGGCAACAAUUGAAUACUUCAAGUCAGAGGCAGAGUUUCGUUUACCAAAUACUUAUAAGACAGAGGCCGAGGCAAGCAACACACCUACUCAUAUAGCACAGAGGCAGAGUUGAGUUCACCAAAUACACUAUACAUUAGGGAUCGAGCAGAGUUUCGUUCAGCUGUCGUAUUCAAGGAGCACCACUUUGAGCACUACUUUGAGCAUACCCAGCUAGCAAACUACAGCUUCAAAGCAAACUAUAGCGAAAAAGAAGAAAGAGCAACCCGAGCGCCUAUAUUCUAUUCAAUAGGUAAAGCUCUAUAUUUAUUCAACAGGAAAGGGUGCUUCUUUACUUUUGGAUAGUGCUACAUCCGCCUAUGUCUAAAGGAAGGGUGCGUGCCUCUUGACUUUUGGAGUGCAAUGUCUGCCUAUGUCCUAAUGUGUAUAGGAGCACUUCAUUCCUUUUUUACUUGACUCUUACACUCCCAUCUUUCUUUCUUUCUCGUUGACUAGAUACCGCACAGUUUAUGGUCUUGUUCUUGAUUCAUCUCUGUCUUUUUAUUCUGCUUGAGAUCUGGUUUAUGAUUCCGAUCCUGCUUAGAAUCCAUUUCUAAUUAACCUAGCAGUAAAGACAGUUGGGCCGAGUAAACCAGUCAAAUAAAAACAAGUAAAGGAUCUUAACGCGGAAGCCAUAUAAAAAGAAGUUAGUCAUUCAGAUCGGAUUGUAUGCGGGAAAAGAUUGGAGCUAAGAGCCUCUUUGAAGUUUAUAUAAAUUAUGAAAGCAAGAGCGAAAGCAACAAAGGAUAAAAGAUGUCUUUGGCGAAAGUCUAUAAUUAGUAAGCUUUGGAAGGUAGGUUAGGUUAAUUAUUUCUAUACUUUUGUGCUGCGCUCAAUUCUCUGUAUGGCUGAUGUGUUUAAAUAAACAGCUUGUUCUUACCUUGGGCUUUGCCCCGAACUCCCCUUGAAGAAGCACCCCCUCCCCUUGAAGAAGCACCCUUUGAUACAACACUCGCUCGAACUACAGAUUCUGUUGAUAUAGUACCUGAGCCAGCAUCUUCUCUUACCGCAACACUUUGACCAGUACUUUCUGAUUUUCCUUCACUUGACUUUCGAACACCAUUUCCUAGCACAGAUCCGGACUCGUAACUUGCAGAAUUGACAACACUCGCACAACACUUGAAACCUUAUUCCAUGAAAAGCGAGUCUCACGACCUAGCCUAAGAAUGCACAAAUUCCAGAAGUAGCUAGCUAGUAGCCGCAUUGAAGCAGCAGCCUUUACGCAGAUAGAGCUUGAAGCCAAGGAAACCAACCCUCUUUUAAAGAAAGAUGAGAGGGGGAGAACUAAACAAUAGGAAGGGUCUGUCUUUAGUGAGCUUUCUUACACAAUAUCUCUCUCUUUGUGGACUAAUCCUUUGGAAUGUAUAGCACCUAACCUAAGAACUUAUUGAAAUUGCUAAUACCCGCGCAAUAGAGCAAUCAAUACUCUUAUAAAGACCGACUAGCAUUAGUAUGGAGGAAGCCUUAACCUUUCUAGCUGCUCCCCGCUGCCCCCUUUCUUUUGACCCUACUAAAACCUAAUAGGUUGAGCCACCCUUAGCGCACUUUGCUUAGGUCGUAAUACUCUUCUCUCCCCUUGGUUAGGAUCUUUUGUAGUUUACUAGACAUAAAGAUAGAUGGUUUACUAGACAUAAAGAUGGUUUACUAGACAUAAAAGUGUUAGGAUGGAUGGUUUUGAAGCUUCUUAUAUGGAGGAUUUUAGGGGUAAUAAAGCAACUUCCUUUCUGUGACAAGGCAUUCCAGAGCAUCAAGCAAUACUGAACAAAAGCACCAACCAGUCCUAGCCUAUACCGACCCACCAACGAGGUCUAGUUUUUUUAUUAUACCCACGUGCCAUGGAUCAUUCAUUCACUUGGGCUAGCCAAUAAGUAUGACGAAAGAAGGCAAAGACAAAGAGCAAACUCUUACAUAAGUAGAAUUAUGCUUGCCACUAUACAUCGGUAUAACUAGUCCUUUCUUUCUUUUGGAAUGCUCUCAUGUUUGCAGCACGGAAGAUGGCACCUAAUUGCCAAUCCCCUUUACCUGGUUGUCAUGAGUAAACCUUUGAAAGAUCCUUGUGACCAAGUUCACUGAACGACCGACUCGGGUCGAUACUGCUCUUUCGGGUCAGCUCUUUUAGUAAGUAGAAUAGAAUAUUCGUAUGUUGAACAAAAGGCCGUGAAAGGCCUGUAUAUUUGUAUUUCACUGGCAUCUUUCUUGAAGCACAUCCUCUGACUGCCUUAUUAUCCCUUCCCUUCAUUUCUAUUGGUAUUGGCUAUGGAAGAUGAGUUCUGCUUUGGCAUGAAGACUCGAGCCAAGGGGGGCGCCUCAAAAAGAUAUGAGAAAGGACGUCCGGGCAAUUUCUUAGUUCGUCUCUCUUACUCCCGAAGGAAAGAUGAUCCCGCAUUCCUUCACUUUCUUUGUCGGAGUCAUCUUACAACAAGGUGAAGCUUUCAACUUAUACGCAGUAGCUAAGCGCGUUGAAGCAAUUGGCCGGCCUUAUGCAAAAGACAUGGACACUCUCUUUUCUGGAUUCUCUCUCUUCCUCUUAUCUAACAAUUCUUUCACUAAAUUAUGAAACUAGGCGCUUAUUUGAUUAUUCAGAGGUUGGUUUCUUUCAGAGUUAAAGAAGAAGGAAGCUUGGGAGAAUAGGUUCCCACGGAUCGGUAAAAAGUAUGCAUCCUGAAAUCUUUAAUGAGAGGGUGAAGCCCAUUCAAAGCUCUGUGCUAGCACUCGACUUCGGUACUAGGCCUCUUACUAGAUAGAUCUUCGGAAUCUGAUGACCAGAUGCUCGGAAGUGAAAAGAGGGAGAAGAGAAAGUACUGAUUAGCAGCCCGGACUAAUGCCUUACCCCAAGCUCACAAGGUUUUUUGUUUAGAAUAGAACACUCUAAAAGAAUGAAGUUCAAAAAGGCUUCGCUCCAGGAGCCCGGUACGAUAGAUUUAGGCGGAUGGGUGUUUGUGGUGUGGGAGUAUAGAAAAUGGUAUAAAGUUGUGUUGAUUGGAGGAAUAAGAGAAAGGUGGGCAAUGCCAUUCUUCGGUAGGUGCCGAGGAAAUAAUGUUUCUGUUCCGGUUCAAAAGAAGGGUAUGUUGUAUCUUUACUUAGAUCUAGUAGUAGGAAUAUCUUAUAGGGUGCUCAAACUCUAGUCGUUGCUUGGCCCUUUGCUUGACCCGCAAUUAGGAAGCCUGUCUAUUAGCAGAUCAGAGUAGCUUAGUGAAAGUAGCCCAGGGGAAUAAUCCGGUGGCAAUGUCGGGUGCUUCUUAUUCUAUAUUGAAUGGCGAGUUCUUCUUUCGGGUGUCCUUGACCGGAGAAUUUCUAUGAACAAAAGAAAGAAAAGGGCUUAGCGACCUUGACCUUAGACGAGCGCAACGAAGGAUCUGAUCCAGACAUAUUGAUCUCCAUUUUGUGCACUAUGGGACGGAUCUCAAGGCCUAGUCGGUAAUCUCUUUCAGAGACCUUGGUAUUAUAGCAGAAUUGCCCUCUGGGUCCGUUAGCGUUAGGAGUGGGCAGGGUAGUCCAGAGUACAGAGCCAUAACAGGAUUAGUUGACAGAGCCGAGGUCGGCAGACAAUAAGAAUCGCAUGGGAUAAAUCAAUUUGGAAGACAAGAAAAGCUGGGUGAGCUAGGUCGUAGAGAUCAGAGGCAGAGAAGAAUCAAUGGAAGCAGUUAAGUAAGAAGGAGAGGAAGCUGGGGAAUUGACUAAGGAGUAACAGUAGAGGUCGACCAAGCACUGCCAAUCAGAAUGUCCCUAAAGAGAGUCAAAGCCUACAACCACUGCUAACGAGUCUAUCCGACCCGAGUCUAAGAAUCAAACUAGUGAAACUCAGCCUUAAACUCUAACCUAGGAAUACGGAAUUACAGAAUGAGUUUACAUAGCGGAGGGAUAUCCUGAGUGAGAUUAGAUGGAGUGGGGAUCUUUCUUACUAACUACUUACAACGUUGCUUGUCGGCCGAACACAGGCAUUGAAGUCACCAGUUACCUUAUUCUAUGAAACCAGUUACCUUAUUCUAUUUAUUGUAUAUGAAUAGUUACUUCACACUGUAUUAGUACUAAGAGAAGUGAGUAUUAGUAGAUUCAUUGGGUACAAUCUAGCGCAUCUAGUAGAAGACACAGAAUUUCACUCCCCGGACUAACGCUUUGAACUCGCUACCGCUACACAUUUCAUUAGUAGUUUCUUCUGCCCUUCCCUGGCUAGUAUAGUCGUUUCUUCUUCCCCGAACUCAACUUCUAUUUGAACAACUCCCUUUCCUUUGCAAUGGAAUCUCCAUCUAAUUACCUAUGAGCUUCUCUUUUGAAAACCUCAACUCUCACUGCUCCUGACGCAGACGCUGAUGCGCUAAUAGGAAUUGUGGAAUCGAAUCCACCCUAUCUCUAUAUCUAUCUCUUAUUACCAAUUAUUUCUAUAUCAUAACCCUUAUCUUUUACUUGCGCUUACGGAGCUCAUCACCUUGUUCUUUGGCUUCUAAACUAACUUAUUGCUUUCCCUAACCAUAACAACCUUAGGCUAGAUCGAAAGCAACAAACAAUGGAACAACCUUUAUUGCAUUUGAGUCCAGAAAGCUUCAAGUAAGGGCAGAGGUUCUCAUGCCAAGAAAGAAAGAAAGAUUAUUUGAUUAAAGGCAACGGACGGAGUUUGUUUACGUUCCUAUAUAUCUCUAUUUGUGUAAUGCUAAUGCUAUAGAAUAUGAAAAUGAUAUACUUCACUACACCGAACAAGCAAAGCAGAAAAGCUACAAUAAUACUGAUAAAUAAACUACACUGAGAAGAUACCGCGUAGUGAACAGACGUCAAGCCAAUCACUGAUCUCGCUGCUGCACUUAUAAGAAAUACUUCCGGACUUUGAAUCUACUUUACUUAUAUUCUGACUUGAGAGUUUAUGACUUGAGAGUUUAUGACUUGAGAGUUGCAUUCUGGAUUCUAUAAUUCCUUAUUUCUUGUUGAUGUUCAAAUGCUUUUGAGCCUUCUAACAUAGACGACCUGAUCUGAGAGACCAGACCUUCUUCUUAACAUAGACGACCUGAGCUGAGAGACCAGACCUUCUUAACAUAGACCUGAGCUGAGAGUAAAGUAAGUCAUAUCCAAAUAUGGUUCUGGAAUGAUUUCCCGCCCUAUACUGGACCAUCGGAAAGAGGCACCCUAUACUAUUGACUAAUCACUCUUUUCGGUAACUAAGCAAUAAUGAAGAGUAAGCUCUAAGCUGUUUGGUUAUUCGCGGAGUGUUUAUUUCAUCUGUACCUAAGCUGCUUUCAUAUGUACCUUGUGUUGGUACCUAAGCAGUAAGAUGUGUUGUUACUAUACUUAGAAUAGAAGAUGGAUCCACACUACAUAUCUUAUUAAAGAAAGAAAGGCUGGACAAUAAGUAUCUUUAAGCAAUGCGGGCAAGGCAGGACAGACAAUAAGUAUCUUUAAGCAAUGCUAUUUGUUGACUCUUUAUUCUAUGUGCGUGUGUAACGCUCUCUCUUUUAUUCAAUGCUGUUUGUUUACUUCUUUUCUUUAGUUCUACUGGUUCGCUAUUAUACUUACUUCAGAAUCGAACUAGUGCUUAUGAGACUCGGCUUGGUGCUAAUAAGAAUGCCCUCCCUGCCUCUUCUUCUAAGACCCCUGAGCCGAGAUCCUUAACAGCUUGGGAGAAUAGUAGGUAUAUUGCCCUAUAACUAUCGAUCUUGCUUUACGGCAUCUUAGCCUGUCUUUGCUGUCUUUGAUUCUAGGACUGCUGCAUCUCGGAUCGACCCUUUCUCUUUUAAUAAGGAAUUGUAAACAGACAUAACUUCUAAUAACUCACAAGUAUUGUGAGUGGAGCUCCCGCCGAGUAUCAAUGGUGGAUGAGCUAUGAGUUUCAUUGAACAGAGGUCUGGAGACGAGAAGGAAACUUUCUGAAGCCUGAACCUUAAUGCUUGUUUGAACCUCACCUAUUACUGCUUACUCACUUUCGAAAGCUUCUUCUAAGGCUGCUGAUUCCUCUAAAUAACUGGCUGGUUACUUCUCUGGGCGCCAAUACGAGAUUCUCUGAGGAUUAUUAUCCGACUGCUCUUGCUGCUUCCUUUGCCACUUACUUGCGCACAGCUUAUGACACCGAUCGAGCUUAUUCCCGAUGCUCAACGAGACUUGUUCUUUUGCCGAACCUUACUAACGGAUCUUGUUCUUCUUGGGCCUGUCUUCGGUCAACAAAUAUGGAAUGGAAAAACGACUCUCCUGUUCGGCAAGCAUUAACCGCGCUGCGCUGAGAUACUUUAGGACAAGAAAAAUAAAUGGAAUCCUCUUUCGAGCUCCCUAACACCGAAAACAGCACUUGCUUAUUACUCUUAUCUGUAGUUAACACAACGUCUUGCUUAUUGCGCCUGCCCCUCUCCCAGAAAUGACUCUAAACUCCAAUGUAAUAGCUAAUGAUGCGCGCCCUAUCUUCUUCUUUCACUAGCGCCCAACGUCGAGCUCAGUUAGCGAGUUCUUUUUCAUAAAAUAAUGGAACUGGACAUUAGAUAGAAAAUAAGGUAACCAAAGAGAUAGCUAGCUUACAGGAUUUAACAACCAGACUGGAUACUCUACUCUAUUACUUUGACUUUGUCUGAGCUAUAGCGGCACCCGAUCCCGAUCCAACUAGUAACUACAUAGAGGCUCUUUCAACUCCCACUCAGGAUCCAGCGGACUUUCCUCUUACAACAAAAGCACCGAAACAAUUUGUUUAGUUUGAGCAAGAGUAGGAAAGUACUGUUUUCAGCUUCUGUUGAUUGAUUCUUGAGUUGACAACAUACAUAGAUUCCACUCGAACAGUCUAUUUUCCACGAUACUUUGCAUAGAGGUUAAAGGGAAAGACUAGGUCACAGAAUCAGCCGCUAUUGGAUUUCAUAGGGUAUAAUUUCCUUUCUUCUCAUCGAGGUUGCCUUUGUCUCUUCAAAGCUUCCAGGGAUGAUGCUUGAACUGGAUACUCUAAGGGUAGUUCCACCGUGUGUAAGAUGCGGUAGCGUUCUCUCUAAUAUGGAAUGAUAUAUUACUAUAGAGUGAUAUAGAAUGAUAUAUUACUAUAGAAUGAUGUAUUACUAGCUGUGAGAAUAGAAUAUCCGAUGCUGUUAGCUUUCCAGGUAGUGAUUCCCAUUAGUUAAUUGGGUCUUUCUUCUUGAAAAGACUGCUUCCAUAAGGUAGUUCAUGCAUUGAUGCAGAUAAGUUGGAAUAUUGUCAGUGUGCCACGAGUUACUCCUUUUGUGACUCUGUCUCUCCUCGUUAAUUCGUUUUGAGUUAAAUAACCCGGUAAAGUGCUGACCCGCCCCUGGCUCAAGGGAAAUCUCUUAUUGGAUUUAGGGAACGACUCCCAGCCAAGUGGUAUCACGAUUUAGCUGUUUUCGAAAGGAAUUGUCAUGGUGUUUCUUUGAUCCGAAGCAGUUCUUGCUCAAGUCGAACCAGCUUCUUAAGUGGCAAGAGCUUAUGCCUAAAAUAUCAAGUCAGAAGGUAAAGUAAAGAGAAAGCAGUCUACACGUGAAAGCUAGGCGAACUCCAGCCUUCUUUUUGAUUAUAUAUACCGUUCUAGCCACGGAAAGCAUUCAUUCCAAUUUAUUGAUGCUUUUUGUGUAACAGAUCCUGCUGUAACAGAUCCGGAAUCGCUUAUACCCGCUGAUUCUAGUAAUAGGAGAGAUUCUCCCGGGGAAGCGAAAGAGUAGUGAGGCUCACAACUUAUCCCUACUUACUUAUUUUCGUCUUUUUUCGCUCCUGACCCAAUCAAACUCGGAUCAGUUGGCAAGUCGAAUCCCACUCGUUUGUUUUGAGUUAUCGAAGGGAAAAAGAUGCAAUUCAUUCUGCCCGGUCAUUGGCGAUGAGAUAAAGGCUAUUGCACGGAAAGCGACUCUGGCAAGAGCGGAUUCCCUCACCUCACUUUUGGAACCAGAAAGUAGGCCUUACGAGGGCGCCCUAGCUAGAUGAACUCCCUGAUUUGAACGAGGAAUAAAGUAGGUCUUUUGACUUAAUAUUCCACUAAUAGCCGUCCAUUUUCAUCAUGCAACUUUCUAUCACAGGAGCUGAAAGCAUUCGUGAUUUGAUCUUCUUCUAUAAGAGAAUAUAAUAAGAUAAUCAAGUUAAUAUGUUUGUGAUGAAAUCGAUUCCUAUUCUUUUGUACCCUAUACAAACUCCCCGGCUUCCUUUCGAGCUGGGUCAUCCAAAUGCCAGUCUUUUCUUCGGUCAAAUGAACCUAAGCUAGCAAAAAGGCCUAACCGCACCACCAACUGAUGCGGAUGAAUUAGCUCUAUAAGCCUAGCACCCAUUCCUUCCAACUUAAGAACAGGCGCAUCUCAGAAGGAAUUUGAACUUGCUCCGGACUCUUAAAGCAGGGGAACUCGACAAGCACCCGAAGAAAACGAUACUUAUUUACUUAGCGACCUCGACUUGAACACCAUCUUUCUUGCUCCGAGUAUCUAAGGUAGGAUUUUUCAACAACAACCUUUCUGUUAGCCGAGUCAACAAAUACGGAAAAUACUAAAUGGAACUAACCCCUGCCUAUGAAUCAUGAACUGAGGAGCUCACUGACCCUAACAGUAAACUAACACGAGCAGCUCAUCUCUAAACUCAUGAAUUGCAAAAUCACUUUCUUUAUCGCCUAGCCUAGUAUUAUAAUAGGUUCUUUUUCACUUCCUUUCCUUCCCGUAAGCGCACAACAUCCUUCUGAGCUCAACUCAACUGGACCUCAGUCAACUAAUAAUUAUUUGAGUCUAUCGAGCUAAAGUAUAUAGGAAUAUUACCUUUAUGCAAGUAUAUAGGAAUAUAACCCUUACUAGACAAUACUGGCAUGGCACUGCUGAUUCCUAUGAUCCUGCUUGUCAUCUUUCUUCUUCUUCCUCCACUUCUACUAUCACUCUACUUUUUCAGGUCUUGCAGCUGACUUGCAAACAGGCAAUUCAUAAGCUUCAGAUCUAUCUUAUGGUCCUAAUUCCUCACCUGCUCCUUCGUCUGCUUCAACACAAUCACUAGUCACCUCUCUUGCGGACUUAGAUACAAUAACUUGAGCAGGAACUGGCUAUUCUGCAGCAGAUGAUAUUUCUCCCGAACCAGUGGAUUCUCUCUUUCAUCGACAAGAAAGGUCAACCGCCCCCAUUCCGGAGCAAGUCCAGAUGUAGUAUUGGCUAAUGGGAGUUCGUCGUUAGUUGUGAGUUUCUUUCUUGUGCAGCUAAUUAGAGUAGAGUGGAGUUCGCCUUCUUUUAAGUGAGUCAGGAGUAAGCGAUGCUCUAUUGUUACUAUAUUAUUUAUAUGUUAUAAGGCGGAUUGUUUUAUUGUUUCGUGCGCCUAUUCUAUUCGUGUUCGUCAAUUAUGAUAUUCGUCUUCUUAAAGUAAGCUAUGCCGUCUAUUCUGAAAAGUCUGCAAUAAUAGGUUAGAGUUUAGGGUCAAAAGUGGUUGCGUUAUAUAGCAUUACUAGGGAAAGAACGGAUUUCAACGUAGAAAUAACCAUCGACCAGUUCCCAACCUUAUAUUUGAUAAGGCGGAGGCACCCUUUUCUAGUUGAAUAGAAUUGAGACCUUCCUUGUUCCCUUACUUGCUCUUGCGCUAAGUAAAUGAUUGGAAUUCGUUUUUUCGAGCUGACUUAUCUUACUGACUCCCUUUCUGUUUGCAACUUACUAUUGAACAGCUUCUAAUCUCGCAGGAUUGACCUAAUUCUUUAUGAGACCCCCCCCAUCUGGAUACUUCAACUACACUUUCUUCACCACUAGUAUACUCUCAUGAUCCAGCUUUAACACCUGAUUUAGAGUACUUAUCGGUAUUGGCUAAAGAAUACUUCUUUAUCGUCGGCUUAACUCGAACAGAAACUUCAUUAGCAUUUCAGAAAGGAAUAGAUUCUUCCCUGAACUCGAAAGCGCCUGCGCCCGGAAACCUCAUUGAAGAAGCACCUCUCUCUUAUAGAAUAGAAGAACGACGUCAACAACAGAUUCAAUUCGACUUGAAAAGAAGCGCCAAAAGUCCAUCAUUCCAUUCUUUCUGCUCAAAAGCAAGUAUCAACAAGUGGAGAAAUACCAACAAACAAACAAGCAAUGGCAAACAAACAGACAAGUAAGUACCAGCAUUCAAAAAGGGAAAGUGGGAUUCAAACCAACAAGCAAAGAUGUGAGAUCACGAGAAGCAGACCAAGCAAGCACGCCCACUAGCUAUUCUUUACCUAAUAGAUUGAGUUCUUUAGUGAUACUACUUGAGAGCGCUGGCAGCCCAAGGUACAUCCUUAUCCUGUUACUGAUGAGUUGAGUUAUUGGCUGGGGUAUCCUUUGCACGGUAUCUUUGCUCGGCAGUUUCAUAUCCUCCCUUGACUUUGAGUCUGAACUCUCCUGGGGACCUUCAUCUAGCUUGUUGGAUCACACCUCGCUUCUUUAGGGGACCCCGCAAAGGUAGGAUAGAAUUCACUGAAGUAGUAGCAGAGUGAAGCAGCUAAGUAUCAUAAUUUCCAGUUAGAGUUUCAUCCUAGUCUCAGCGGGCUUGUCUAAAAGGGAGAAGACAUAUACGAGGACAGGACUUGGCGGAUAGCGAAGUCUACUUAGCCAGUACUACCUGUCUUCAACUCUCACUCGACAAACAAGAACAGGAUCAAUCAGGCCCAUACUCAAGAUCCCGUACAGGCUUUGAUGCGCUAAGUCCUGAAACAUACUCAAUUAGGACUCCAAAAAGCAAUGAGUUGAACUCAAUACAGACACCUGAGUUCCUUGGCGCUCCCUACCACUGUAGUUGCUUGGCCCUUUUCUUUGAUCGACCAGAAGCAACUAUGCUCAAAUUCCAUUCUUUUCUUUGAUCGACCGGAAGCAACUUCUCUUAUUCUAUAUGUUUGUUAUUGUCUGUCUUUGGAACAGCUGCUCAAAAAGAAAACAAGCGACUAGUGGAAUGAAACUAGAUCUGAUCUCCUCGGGCUCGGGAAAGCUGUUCACCAGAGCUUUGACUAUUACUACCGGGAAAGCUGUUCACUAGAGCUUUGACUAUUACUACGAGCUUUAGUUAGAACCUAUUAAUGCUACAAUCCAAAUCAAAUGUCAUGACCUACUUAUCCUUUUUCAAGACAUACGAGGCAUACAACGUUAACCCGGUUCGAGAACCUUCUCCCAUCGCAUC
RNAcentral lists this long non-coding RNA (14747 nucleotides) under Musa acuminata (dwarf banana). RNAcentral's name for it is "long non-coding RNA (MACU_LNC008320)". The record is from RNAcentral. Lineage: Eukaryota; Viridiplantae; Streptophyta; Magnoliopsida; Zingiberales; Musaceae.